GAUCAUGGCUCAGGAUGAACGCUGGCGGCGCGCUUAACACAUGCAGGUCGAACGGUUAAAGCACCUCCGGGUGUGCAUAAAGUGGCGAACGGCUGAGUAACACGUGGGCAACCUGCCCCCCGCACCGGGAUAGCCUCGGGAAACCGUGGGUAAUACCGGAUACUCCGCCACCCCCGCAUGGGGGAGGCGGGAAAGCGUACACGGCGGGGGAUGGGCCCGCGGCCUGUUAGCUCGUUGGCGGGGUAACGGCCCACCAAGGCGAUUAUGGGUAGCCGGGUUGAGAGACCGACCGGCCAGAUUGGGACUGAGACACGGCCCAGACUCCUACGGGAGGCAGCAGUGGGGAAUCUUGCACAAUGGGCGAAAGCCUGAUGCAAGCGACGCCGCGUGCGGGAUGAAGGCCCUCGGGUUGUAAACCGCUUUCAGCAGGGACGAGGCGCAAGUGACGGUACCUGCAGAAGAAGCCCCGGCUAACUACGUGCCAGCCGCCGC
Molecule: ribosomal RNA, 492 nt
Filed under: uncultured bacterium
Lineage: Bacteria
Description: bacterial SSU rRNA
Rfam family: Bacterial small subunit ribosomal RNA
Source: RNAcentral